RNAcentral lists this non-coding RNA (30 nucleotides) under Homo sapiens (human). The record is from RNAcentral. Lineage: Eukaryota; Metazoa; Chordata; Mammalia; Primates; Hominidae.
UGACUACAAACUGAUCUACCGGCACUAUGC